CGGAAGCCCCUCCGUUCGGCCGCGCGCUAAGGCUUUGAGGCCCACGCAUGACCGGGUGGUCGCGGGGCAUGCUGGGAGUUGUAGUUCCACGCUGAAUUUGGGUUUCGGGAGUAAAGAGCUCCAAAGUCCAAGGUUUCAUUUCAGUCUACCUUUGGUAGUCACCAGGUCACAGGUUAGCCGUUAUUGGCUGCCAUUAAGGACCGUUGCUUAUCCUGGGGUGAGCGACCUCCAGAAUGGGGAAUAGUUAUCCAGCUGCCGCCAGCCCCCCGUGCUGCAGCAUUGGUUUCUCUCCUCAGGAGCAGGUGACUUAAGCCACCGACUCCAGAGAUGGCAGCCCUGACCCUGGAGGAAACAACACCAAGAACAAAGCUUCAAACCACCUGAGAGACCAGUCCAGCGCCACAGACCUCAGAAGCGACCGCCAUGCACAUCCAAUAACCUAGGGAGACCUUAAACAUCUCACUUCACAAGCAGAGACUAUCACUAAUCAAAACCCUCAAACUAGAGGGAACCCUCUUGUCAAUGUUCCUCAUAAUGUGCGCCAUUAUUACAGCAAACUCACAAGCCCUCUCCUUGCCACACAACCCCCAUGUGCCUCAAAAUUUGACCUGGGUAAUUACAAACUCUGCCACUGGUACAGUGCUUAACUCCACCUCUGAGGUCAUACCCUCGAACAGCUAGCACCCUGACCUUUGAGUGGUUCUUUGCACCAUAUUUGAGGGAGAAUGGGAGCCCAGUGACCAGACCCCCUUUCCAUCCUUUGGCUGCCUGCACCCUGGCCCCCCAUCACGUACCCACAAUCCAACCAUCUAUAUCUGUCUGGUCAUCGUCGUGAUUCAUGACAAAAAACAACUGCAGAGGGCCAGGAGAUUACUAUUGCACCAGCUGGGGAUGUGAAACUACUGGCACAUUUUGGUGGACUGGGUCUAUGAUCCAGGAUCUUAUAACUGUAGAACGGGCCCCAGGAUCUACCUCCCUGGGAUGGGGCAGAACCAGCGCAAGCCCACACUGUAACCCACUUAUCAUUAAGUUUACAGAAAAAGGAAAAACGGCUUCAGGUUGGGACACUGGAAAAACUUAGGAUCUGAGACUCUACGUGUCGGAAAGAGACCCUGGGGCACUGUUUACCAUCCAGCUUCUUACUCGGACACCCUCUGACCUUCCCUCUGGCCCGAUUGGGCCAAAUCAUGUGCACAGUAGGACCCCCUCUUUUCCUCCCAGCUUCCCCAUCCCUCCUCCUCAAUUACCCUAGCUCACACUAGCCCACCCUCCACACCUACCUUCAUGAGCGUACCCCCCCAUUGCUAGGUCUGAAGCUCUCUUGGGACUGCUCUCUGCCACCUAUUCUGUCCUCAAUAUCUCUAAACCCGGGUACACUCAAAAUCCAAGUUACAUAGAACCAGGCAAGCCAGGGCCACAGUGAAACCUUGUCUCAAAAAACAAAAUAAAACUACCAUCACAAAAAAAUAACA
Long non-coding RNA from Nannospalax galili (Upper Galilee mountains blind mole rat), 1472 nucleotides. RefSeq lists it as uncharacterized. The record is from RefSeq and is a predicted model, not a curated record. NCBI's taxonomy places the organism in Eukaryota, Metazoa, Chordata, Mammalia, Rodentia, Spalacidae. The transcript is spliced from 3 exons.